RNAcentral lists this ribosomal RNA (460 nucleotides) under uncultured bacterium. RNAcentral's name for it is "partial 16S ribosomal RNA". It matches the Rfam family "Bacterial small subunit ribosomal RNA", at positions 338 to 795 of the family's 1533-position model. The record is from RNAcentral.
CCUACGGGUGGCAGCAGUGAGGAAUAUUGGUCAAUGGACGAGAGUCUGAACCAGCCAAGUAGCGUGAAGGAUGACUGCCCUAUGGGUUGUAAACUUCUUUUAUAAAGGAAUAAAACGAGGCACGUGUGCCUGUUUGCAUGUACUUUAUGAAUAAGGAUCGGCUAACUCCGUGCCAGCAGCCGCGGUAAUACGGAGGAUCCGAGCGUUAUCCAGAUUUAUUGGGUUUAAAGGGAGCGUAGAUGGGUUGUUAAGUCAGUUGUGAAAGUUUGCGGCUCAACCGUAAAAUUGCAAUUGAUACUGGCAGUCUUGAGUACAGUUGAGGUAGGCGGAAUUCGUGGUGUAGCGGUGAAAUGCUUAGAUAUCACGAAGAACCCCGAUUGCGAAGGCAGCUUACUAAACUGUGACUGACAUUGAUGCUCGAAAGUGUGGGUAUCAAACAGGAUUAGAUACCCCUGUAGUC